Xiphophorus maculatus (southern platyfish) is the source of this 212-nucleotide long non-coding RNA. RefSeq lists it as uncharacterized. The transcript has 3 exons. NCBI's taxonomy places the organism in Eukaryota, Metazoa, Chordata, Actinopteri, Cyprinodontiformes, Poeciliidae. The record is from RefSeq and is a predicted model, not a curated record.
CUGGACUGGAGAGUCCAAACUGCAUCCUGGAAACUCUCAGAAAGAAGAUUCAAAACCUGCAGCUACUUGGUCAGCCAAUUUGUACUCAUCAGGCACACCAUGGGGCACACCGAUGGCAUCAAUCAAUGCAUUCCCUAGGGACACUUUGUCUUUGUCCUGAGGCCGAAACAUCAUCAGUGACCCCUCACACCCCCACCAUGGACUGUUCUCCC